AUGGCAAACUACAACGAAUGAUGUUAAUAAAAAAAAAAGUACUUUCAUCUUUACAGUGAAUUUGAUCAGAGAACAGAAACGUGUUGACUCUUCCCCAGGGCGGCCCAUGGGCCUCUGAGAAGUGGGAACAAGGAAAUGGUGAUUGCUUUCUCUGUUACAGACUUUUCAGCCUCACAGGAGAGAUUAUCGCUGUUUCUGCAUACAGAGGGUAUCUGCUCAUCAAGGACUUCUUGCAGAAACCAGAAGGAAACUGUUUUCUAAAAACGUGACAGAAUGUCUUCAGUAAGCCUAAAGUGACCAACACAAACACGUAACUCCACACGAGCAGUAACAUGGAAAGCAAAUAACACUUAUGAGAUCUAACGUUACUUUGUGGACACUGCCAAAAUACAAGAUAAGAGUAUGAUUUACAGAAAUAGCAGACGUGCUUCGAGUUGAGAACCAGGACCGGCCGACACGAAAGCCACACAAGGAACCAGAACCAGACAGCACAGAGCCACAACGAGCUCAACAGUUCCCACCUACAGACAGGCCCAACAUAACGGCGAGCCGCGGGGACACCGCGGCCACAUCGCGCCGCGGGGACAGAGACCCGGACAGCGGGCAGGGCAGGGCAGGGCAGGGCCGGGCCGCGCGGAACCGGCGGCCGCUCCGCCUCAGUCGCGCGUCAAACGCCGCCGGCUGCGCAGCUCCGGUGAGCGCUGCCCGUAGUAAAACGCCCGCGGGAGCAGCGAUACGCAGAGCUACAGCCAAGCGCUUCCGCCGCGGAGACGGCGAGCCCUCCAGCAGCACCGCGGGAACAGCGCUGCCCCUGCGCCCGCACUAACCCCAGCCCAGCGGCGUGUGGUGCUGCUUCCCCACACAGCGAGCGGCGUGCCCCACAACACGGGCAGCUCGAGGCAGUUAAAGGCCAGCAGCAAUCCCGUACUGCCACCACCCAGCACCUUACCUGCCCCGCUUCCGCCAGCACUUCAGGCAUUACCCCGGGAGGAA
This is a long non-coding RNA of Numida meleagris (helmeted guineafowl), 993 nucleotides long. RefSeq lists it as uncharacterized. The record is from RefSeq and is a predicted model, not a curated record. NCBI's taxonomy places the organism in Eukaryota, Metazoa, Chordata, Aves, Galliformes, Numididae. The transcript is spliced from 3 exons.